Molecule: ribosomal RNA, 433 nt
Filed under: uncultured bacterium
Lineage: Bacteria
Description: partial 16S ribosomal RNA
Rfam family: Bacterial small subunit ribosomal RNA
Source: RNAcentral
AACGAACGCUGGCGGCAUGCCUAACACAUGCAAGUCGAACGAGACCUUCGGGUCUAGUGGCGCACGGGUGCGUAACGCGUGGGAACCUGCCCUUAGGUUCGGAAUAACUCCCCGAAAGGGGUGCUAAUACCGGAUAAUGUCUUCGGACCAAAGAUUUAUCGCCUUUGGAUGGGCCCGCGUUGGAUUAGCUAGUUGGUAGGGUAAAAGCCUACCAAGGCGACGAUCCAUAGCUGGUCUGAGAGGAUGAUCAGCCACACUGGGACUGAGACACGGCCCAGACUCCUACGGGAGGGAGCAGUGGGGGAUAUUGGACAAUGGGCGAAAGCCUGAUCCAGCAAUGCCGCGUGAGUGAUGAAGGCCUGAGGGUUGUAAAGCUCUUUUACCCGGGAUGAUAAUGACAGUACCGGGAGAAUAAGCUCCGGCUAACUCCGUG